GAAAUGCGAUAAGUAAUGUGAAUUGCAGAAUUCAGUGAAUCAUCGAAUCUUUGAACGCACCUUGCUCUCCUUGGUAUUCCUUGGAGCAUGCCUGUUUGAGUAUCAUGAAAUCUUCAAAGUAAAUCUUUUGUUAACUCAAUUGGUUUCUACUUUGGUAUUGGAGGUCUUUGCAGCUUCACACCUGCUCCUCUUUGUUCAUUAGCUGAAUCUCAGUGUUAUGCUUGGUUCCACUCGGCGUGAUAAGUUAUCUAUCGCUGAGGACACUGUAAAAGGUGGCCAAGGUAAAUGCAGAUGAACCGCUUCUAAUAGUCCAUUGACUUGGACAAUACUUUUAUGAUCUGAUCUCAAAUCAGGUAGGACUACCCGCUGAACUUAAGC
Molecule: unclassified non-coding RNA, 378 nt
Filed under: plant metagenome
Description: partial contains 5.8S ribosomal RNA, internal transcribed spacer 2, and large subunit ribosomal RNA
Rfam family: 5.8S ribosomal RNA (bases 1-105)
Source: RNAcentral